Molecule: long non-coding RNA, 1331 nt
Filed under: Monodelphis domestica (gray short-tailed opossum)
Lineage: Eukaryota; Metazoa; Chordata; Mammalia; Didelphimorphia; Didelphidae
Description: lncRNA (ENSMODG00000046857.1)
Source: RNAcentral
GUUAAGAGUCAGCUUUUCACUCACCACAUGUCAGUCCAGUCAGCAGAUUCUUUAUCAGUCUCCAUUCCAAGUUGAACUCCCAGUAGAGCUCCCAGUAGAACUCUCUCACAGGAGGUUCCACUCCAAGUGAUGAGUUCCAAGUCAAACUGCACUCAGGCAGUUGUCAUUCCCUUUUAAAGGCACUUUCUUUUGCUUCACUUCCCCUAAGUUUUUACAUCUAACCAAUCACAGUUAAUGCUUUUGCUUUUAGGACUUCCCAGGGGCAGUCAGUGGAUUUUGAUUCGUCACCCACUAUUUCACACAUGGGUCACAGACCUCCCACUUAAUGUGUGAAAGGGGUGUUUACACUUUUGGUGAUUAAAUCUGAAAAUAGGCAGGGAGGGGUUACAAUUUAAUGUUCACAAUCAGGGGAAGAGUUAAUUAAUUUCAUUGCUAUAAUCAAGGGAGAGUUAAAUUUAAUCUUCACAGUAGCCAACAAGAAAAAAAUAAUGAUAGCCUAGGUUGCACUAGGAGACAAAGUAAAUGACCCAAGAGACAAGUUUUGUUUUGUUUUUAUAUUAUGCCCAGGUUUGGAGUAUUGAAUUCACCUUGGAAAGUAUAUGAGCAGGGGGCAAGUAGGUGGUUCAGUGGAUAAAGAACCAGACCUGGAGAUGGGAGGUCCUGGGUUCAAAUGUGACCUCAGACACUUCCUAGCUGUGUGACCCUGGGCAAAUCGCUUAACCCCCAUUGCCUAGCCUUUACUGUUCUUCUGCUUUGGAAUCUAUGCAUCAUAUUGAGUCUAAGAUGGAAGAUGAGGAAACUGAGACAAACUGGGUCAAGUGAUGUGCCCAGAGACACACAGUGAGGAUGUACUUGAAGCCAGAUUUGAAUUCUUGAAGAUGAGACUUCCUGACUCUAAGCCCAGCAUUCUAUCCAUUGUGCCACCCAGCUAUUCUAUCUUCCUCUGAAUGUGGAUGGUGUUCUUUCUCAUAGAUCCCUCCAAGUUGUUCAGGUUCACUGCAUUGCCACUAAUGGAGAAGUCCACUACAUUCGAUUGUACAAUGUAAAAAAUAGACUCGAAUACAGGACUACAAUCCCCAUGAGCCUUUGCUCCACUUCCCCAGAAUGCCUUGUAAUCUCACCUGGGCCGAGAUCGAGAAGGUAUUUAAGCGGAUCCAAAGGCUGUUGAAGGGGGCUUGGUUUUUUUUGGACUUCCGUUUUGGAGCAGAGGCGUCUCUUCCAUGAUGUGAGGCUAUUUUGUCUAGGCCUCUGGCCUAGGCACAUGUUUCUUACUUGUAUAUUCUUAAUCUUUAACCUUUAAUAAACCUCUAAAAAAUAUAAUACUCCUUGCA